CAGUCGCCGCGGGAAUACGAAGGGUGCAAGCGUUAAUCGGAAUUACUGGGCGUAAAGCGCGCGUAGGUGGUUUGGUAAGAUGGAUGUGAAAUCCCAGGGCUCAACCUGGGAACUGCAUCCAUAACUGCCUGACUAGAGUACGGUAGAGGGUGGUGGAAUUUCCUGUGUAGCGGUGAAAUGCGUAGAUAUAGGAAGGAACACCAGUGGCGAAGGCGACCACCUGGACUGAUACUGACACUGAGGUGCGAAAGCGUGGGGAGCAAACAGGAUUAGAUACCCCAGUAGUCCCUGUCUCUUAUAC
Molecule: ribosomal RNA, 301 nt
Filed under: uncultured bacterium
Lineage: Bacteria
Description: partial 16S ribosomal RNA
Rfam family: Bacterial small subunit ribosomal RNA
Source: RNAcentral